This 362-nucleotide long non-coding RNA is filed under the name Parus major (Great Tit). RNAcentral describes it as "lncRNA (ENSPMJG00000008318.1)". The record is from RNAcentral. Lineage: Eukaryota; Metazoa; Chordata; Aves; Passeriformes; Paridae.
GUCCCAUCAUGAAUCGGGCCCAUGAAGAGUUGCUUCUUCAUGUCAAUGGUCUUCACACAGGAUCAUCCUGUGCAUGGCAGGAAAGAGAAGGACACAUGGGACGAUGGAAUUCCUUUAUGCACGCUUCUCCAAAACAUCAGUGCAAUAUUUUCCACAAAUGGAAUGAAUAUGAGAGAAACCUUUCAAUUUUCCUUCUCUUUCUCACUCACAACCUUAUUAAUUAUAGAAGAAAACAGGAACAUUAAAUAUACAGUUUUGAAUAUAGCUUGCACACAGGAUAUGAUGCUUCUUAUCUUGCUCAGUGCUUGAAGGUCAUGGUUGGAGGCCUGUCUUGAAACUGGGAGGAAGAUUUGUCCUGGAUU